Molecule: long non-coding RNA, 1888 nt
Filed under: Marmota monax (woodchuck)
Lineage: Eukaryota; Metazoa; Chordata; Mammalia; Rodentia; Sciuridae
Source: RNAcentral
CAAAAGACUACCAACUAAGAAAAGCCCAGGACCGGAUGGGUAUACAGCAGAGUUUUACAAAACCUUUAAAGAGGAACUAAUACCAAUACUUUUCAAGCUACUUCAGGAAAUAGAAAAAGAGGGAGAACUUCCAAAUUCAUUCUACGAGGCCAACAUCACCCUGAUUCCUAAACCAGACAAAGACACUUCAAAGAAAGAAAACUACAGACCAAUAUCUCUAAUGAACCUAGAUGCAAAAAUCCUCAAUAAAAUUCUGGCGAAUCGGAUACAAAAACAUAUCAAAAAAAUUGUGCACCAUGAUCAAGUAGGAUUCAUCCCUGGGAUGCAAGGCUGGUUCAAUAUACGGAAAUCAAUAAAUGUUAUUCACCACAUCAAUAGACUUAAAGAUAAGAACCAUAUGAUCAUAUCGAUAGAUGCAGAAAAAGCAUUCGACAAAGUACAGCAUCCCUUCAUGUUCAAAACUCUAGAAAAACUAGGGAUAACAGGAAUAUACCUCAAUAUUGUAAAAGCUAUCUAUGCUAAGCCUCAGGCUAGCAUCAUUCUGAACGGAGAAAAAUUGAAGGCAUUCCCUCUAAAAUCUGGAACAAGACAGGGAUGCCCUCUAUCACCACUUCUAUUCAAUAUAGUUCUAGAAACACUGGCCAGAGCAAUUAGACAGAUGAAAGAAAUUAAAGGCAUAAAAAUAGGAAAAGAAGAACUUAAAUUAUCACUAUUUGCAGUGACAUGAUUCUAUACCUAGCAGACCCAAAAGGAUCUACAAAGAAACUAUUAGAGCUAAUAAAUGAAUUCAGCAAAGUGGCAGGAUAUAAAAUCAACACGCAUAAAUCAAAGGCAUUCCUGUAUAUCAGCGACAAAUCCUCUGAAAUGGAAAUGAGGACAACCACUCCAUUCACAAUAUCCUCUCUCUGCUUUCUAAUCAUCAUGUGAACUGGUUCCUUCUACCACACUCUUCCACCAAGAUGUCCUGCCUCAUCUCAAGCCCCAAAGAUUGGAGCCUGUCUUCUUUGGACUAAGACCUCUGAAACCAUGAGGUUUUGAAUGGGAGAGAUGUUUCUGGUCGGGUCCUUUUAGUCAUAGCAGCAAAAAAAACUGACUAAAACACAGGAUCUUGCUAAAUUGCAGAGAAGCCUUGAACUUGAGAUUCUCCUGCCUCAGCCUCCUGAGUUGCUGAGAUUACAGGCAUGAACCAACAUGCCUGGCAAUUUCUAUUGUUUAAGUCCCCCAGUCUGUGGCAUUUUGUUAUGCUAGCCCAAGAUGCUUAGUACAUCUUUCAUGAUUUUAGGAGAAUCUAUUUGCAUGCAAAAAUAUUUAAAACUUUGGAGUUAUAAUUUCUGUGUGUAUUCAUUAAGGCACAUCUGACAAGACCUUUCUCCUUGGCAAUGCUUUUUUCUUUCUUUCUUUCUUUCUUGGUACUAGGGAUUGAACUCAGGGGCACUCAGCCACUGAGCCACAUUCCCAGCCCUACUUUGUAUUUUAUUUAGAGACAGGGUCUCACUGAGUUGUUUAGUGCCUUGCUGUUGCUGAGGCUGGCUUUGAACUCGAAAUCUUCCUGCCUCAGCCUGCCAAGACACUGGGGUUACAGGUGUGAGCCAAUGCACCAAGCAGCAAUGCUUUUAUGAUACCCUUUCAAUUAAAAGCGAUAAAAUACCUUUUAAGAAGUUAUAUUAUGCAGGUUUUUUCCCCAAUUAGUUUAAAUAGUCAGAAUUUGUGAAAUUUUUUCUUUUGACCAAAAACUCUAAAGAAACUAAUAUAUAUCAUAAUAAAUCAAAUGUUAUAUAUGAGCACAUUCUUGCAGCAAGGUUUUGUUUUAUUGUGAGAACACUGAAAUAGAAGAGCUCUAUGUUGAUAAUUACUGAAGAUGAGUGUUGAGGACACGUGGGGUUCAUCG